AGGGAAGAACACGUAACGAGUGUAACUGCUUGUACUUUGACGGUUCGAUAUUUGAAAGACAGGGCUAAAUACGGGCCAGCAGCCGUGGAAAUACGUAGGUGGCAAGCGUUGUCCGGAAUUAUAGGGCGUAAAGCGAGUGCAGGCGGUCCUUUGAGUCUGAUGUGAAAGAGCGCGGCUCACCCGUGGAUGGUCAUUGGAAACUGGGGGUCUUGAGUACAGAAGAGGAAAGCGGAAUUCCAUGCGUUGCGGUGAAAUGGGUAGAGAUGUGGAGGAACAUCAGUGGCGAAGGCGGCUUUUUGGUCUGUAACUGACGUUGAGGCGUGAAAUCGUGGGGAUCAAACAGGAUUAGAUACCCGGGUAGUACACGCUGUAAGCGAUGAUUGCUAAGUGUUAGGGGGUUUCCGCCCAUUAGGGCUGCAGAUAAGUCAUUAAGCACUUCCGCUUGGGGUGUUGUGCCGCAAGGGUGAAACUCAAAGGAAUUGACGGGGGCCCGCACAAGCGGUGGAGCAUGUGGUUAAUUCGAAGCAACGUGAAGAACCUUUCAUGGUCUUGACAUCCCAGUGACCGUAUUAGAGAUAAGUCUUUCCCUUUGGGGACAGUGGAGACAGGUGGUGCAUGGUAGUAGUUAGCUCAUGUCGUGAGAUGGUGGGUUAAGUCCCGCAACGAGCUCAACCCUUGAUAUUUGUUGCCAGCAUUAAGUUGUGCACUCUAAGGUGACUUCCGGGAUCAAGACACGGAGGACAGGUGGGGAUGAGGUCAAAUCAUCGUGCCCCUUAGAUCUGGGCUAAUGAAUUCCGCGGCCGCCUGCGGCCGGAGCUGGAUCGC
This 825-nucleotide ribosomal RNA is filed under the name uncultured Caryophanales bacterium. RNAcentral describes it as "bacterial SSU rRNA". It matches the Rfam family "Bacterial small subunit ribosomal RNA", at positions 441 to 1258 of the family's 1533-position model. The record is from RNAcentral. Lineage: Bacteria; Bacillati; Bacillota; Bacilli; Caryophanales.